Molecule: ribosomal RNA, 253 nt
Filed under: uncultured bacterium
Lineage: Bacteria
Description: partial 16S ribosomal RNA
Rfam family: Bacterial small subunit ribosomal RNA
Source: RNAcentral
UACAGAGGGUGCAAGCGUUAAUCGGAAUUAUUGGGCGUAAAGCGCACGUAGGCGGCUUUGCAAGUCCCAUGUGAAAUCCCACGGCUCAACCGUGGAAGUGCAUGGGAAACUGCAGAGCUUGAGUACUUAAGAGGAUCGCGGAAUUCCCGGUGUAGAGGUGAAAUUCGUAGAUAUCGGGAGGAACACCAGUGGCGAAGGCGGCGAUCUGGGAAGAUACUGACGCUGAGGUGCGAAAGCGUGGGGAGCAAACAGG